This 213-nucleotide long non-coding RNA is filed under the name Brassica napus (rape). RNAcentral describes it as "long non-coding RNA (BNAP_LNC004462)". The record is from RNAcentral. Lineage: Eukaryota; Viridiplantae; Streptophyta; Magnoliopsida; Brassicales; Brassicaceae.
AUGAUCUUAAGAUUUUUAAAUUAAGAGUGUUCUUAAGGUUCUUCUAAUUGGAUUUUGGAUGGAUUUCAAGGAUGGUGCACUAUACGCUAUGUUUCAUCUUGAGUGCACGAAGAAGUUUGAGAUCUGGAGUCUUGUAGAAGGUCAACCAGUGAGGUUUUGUGAGUAUGUGAAUAAUCUUGAGAAUCAGAGGUUGAGGUAACAUAUGAGAUGAAA